Molecule: long non-coding RNA, 5315 nt
Organism: Anolis carolinensis (green anole)
Lineage: Eukaryota; Metazoa; Chordata; Lepidosauria; Squamata; Anolidae
Exons: 4
Source: RefSeq, a predicted model, not a curated record
GAUGUAAACUGAUACUCUUAGCGAUAUUUCUCCACUUCUUCUUCUCAUGAGCCCUCUCUUGAUCUUCUAAGAUAGAGCUAUCUUAAAUCAGUACCUUGAGUUAUUAUUCUGUCUUAGAAUGGUGCUCCUAUAAUAAAGCUUAGUUUAUUUCUAUGAGUCACUGAGGUGUUUGCUCCUUAAUCACAAUCUCUCUAACUGUUGCAUGUAUUAUGCGAACUUUUCAUAGUACAGGGGAGGCAAAUAGUCUUGCAAUUCACUUUGCUUUUAUAACUUCCUUUUGUAGACUUUAACUCUCAGAAAGAUACAUAAAAUGUUACCCUCAUCUUCCUUUAAAUAUGCACAUGAAUAGGAUGCGGUUUCUAAACAGUGUGAUCAACUGGUCAAGGAAUGGAAGACAUGCAAAUGUGUGUAAAAUAAAUAGACUGACCAUUUCAGUGCUAAUCAGGAGCUGCACCUUUAAAGAAUACCACUGGAGCACAUCCAAGCCAAGGUGGAUGACAACAUACACUCAGCACCCAGCUUUUGUUAAGAUACUGAUGCUGUACUUUGGAGCUUGUGGAGGAGGAGGAGUAAAGGAGUGCACAAACUUCAAACAGUCUAAAAAUAAAACUUCACAAAACAGCAUGACAUGUUGGAGCAAGCACUUGAAUGAGAAAUGGAAUGUGGCUGAGCAAGAGAAAGGGGGUGCGCUAGUCUCGUCACAAGGUGGGGCCCAGAGGAUGCCAGGGUAUUAUGAAGGGAUUAUUCUAAGGUGGAGUCAUGCCCUGAAGUCUAAGCCUGGUGGCUUGGCUGAUGAGGAUGUUCCUGCACCUUUUGCUGAUUGAGUCCAUUAUGUGUUGGUGGGAAGGAGGAAAACCAGAUUUCACAUCUAAUGACCUUAUCACAUGGAGGAACCCUCACCCAAUGCCGUUUUGUCAGCAAAUGUAGCGAAACGGCAGACGUAAGGAGUGACUCCAGUACAGCGACACUUCCUCCAUCACACGUAUAUGGAGGGCUGACUACACUCAAGGCUCUGUCCAAAAAUGAAAAAUGGGAAGGACUGGGACACAGGAAAGUCAGUGAGUGUUAGCCAGAUAUUUAUCAGGUAGAGAUUUUGAGUGGUGGGUGAGGUAACACAGUCCUGAAUGCCAGAAAUAGAUGGAACGAAGUGGCCUGUCAUUUCUGUACUUCCUGUUAAUUUCCUUUUAAAGCAUCUUCUGCUGGCUGCCAAUGAACGAAGGAUGCCUUUAGGUUUGGCCUACAUCGGCAGCCUGAGUUAUUUCAGAAUUUCCUCUGUCCAAGGUUAAAGUCCAGAACUUAUGGAUAACCUUUAUUUCCUGUGACCCUUAAAGAGAAGGUUCUGCCUGAUGAGAACAGUUUCAUAGUCCUCUUAAGACCUGGUAACUGAUUAAACUGCUUGUUUGUUCAGCUCUGGUUUGUAGGGUUACUAAGUUACAUCGGGACUUUGAGAUUCCCCUACUAAAAUGAGAUAUGAAGUGCCCCCAGUUUCUACAUCCUAUCUCCUUCUGUCUUUCUCUAGGACAGUGUUUCUCAAUUUUCUUAAUGCCGUGACCCCUUAAUACAGUUCCUCAUGUUGUGGUGACCCUCAACCAUAACGUUAUUUUCGUUGCUACUUUAUAACUGUAAUUUUGCUACUGUUAUGAAUCGUAAUACAGUAGAGUCUCACUUAUCCAAGCCUCGCUUAUCCAAGCCUCUGGAUAAUCCAAGCCAUUUUUCUAGUCAAUGUUUUCAAUAUAUAGUGAUAUUUUGGUGCUAAAGUCGUAAAUAAAGUAAUUACAGCAUAGCAUUACUGCGUAUUAAACUACUUUUUCUGUCAAAUUUGUUGUAUAACAUGAUGCUUUGGUGCUUAAUUUGUAAAAUCAUAACCUAAUUUGAUGUUUAAUAGGCUUUUCCUUAAUCCCUCCUUAUUAUCCAAGAUAUUCGCUUAUCCAAGCUUCUGCUGGCCCGUUUAGCUUGGAUAAGUGAGACUCUACUGUAUAAAUGUCUGAGAGAGUGUGUCCAUCCCUCAAAUGUUGUUGUGCUGCCAGUUCUCAUCAUCCCUCACCCUUGGCUGUGCUACUUUGGUCUGAUGAGAGUUGGAGUUCAACAUUUUCCAGAAGGUGUGUUACUCUGGUAUAUCUGUGUAAAAAGUGAUAUAAAGACUGACUAAGAGAAAGAAGUUGGUAGCAUAAGCUUUUGUAAACUCAUGGUUUGCCUACACUGUCCCCAAAUCCUAUACUCACUGAAAAUGGACCCCAGCAGUCUUCACAAUGCAGAGGGUCUUCCGUUGAGUAUUGUGUUUGAAAUCAACUUUGCUUUGAUUUUAGCAAUAUUCCAUACUUUGCUUGAAACUUCAGAGAAUCCUGGGGCUUUGAGACAUCCUGGACAGCUGGUGAUGGUGAUGAUGAUGAUGAUGAUGAUGAUGGUGUCUUUUCUGCAAUGUUGCAUGAUGCACUUGGGGGCCUGCUUAUCACAGCAGCUGUGAGAGGCGGUGAGCAAAAUCAUCUGGUGGAGAACAGAUGGGGAAGCCAAAAUUUCAGCAUUUUCUAACCAGACUUUAAUUCCAAAUAGAGGAAACCACAGGGCCAUGACAUGACCCCCAAAUCCAGCUGGCAUCUUGACAAGACCAGAUCUACUGUUAUGUAGAAUGAGACAACUGCCCAAGGUAACAUGAAUGUUGCUGGUGCUGCCACUGAUCCUAUUGUUCACAUCCAGGUUUGAGUCCAUAAAUAGUACUGACUCUAUAUAAUUUCAUGUCUACCAAUGCUCCUGGACCACCAACAUUGGGAUGAGUAAUAGAACUCAAUGAUGCUAUUAUAUCAUCACCCUUUUCAAAAAGGGAGAAAGACAGACUGGAAAUUACUGAGGUAUCCCCCUUUUAGCCUCUGCCGGAAAAUUCCUCAUAAGAAUCCUUGCAAACCACCUUCUACCUAUUUCAGAAGACAUCCUUCCUGAAUCCUAGAAUGGCUUCUGCCACUCCAGAUGAACAAUGGAUAUUAUUUUCACUGCAUGAUAGCCCCAAGAAAAAUGCAGUGAACAAAAUUAAACUUUUCACAUGGUAUUCAUCGACCUUGCAAAAGUCUUUGACACUGUGAAUUAUAAUGUUCCUCUCAAAAAUUGAGUGCUCUGAUACAUUUGUGAACAUCCUCUGGGUCCUCUAUGAUGACAUGAUGGCAACAGUCUUGGAUAGCAACAGCUCCUAAAGCAAUGCAUUUAAGGUGGAAUCAGGUGUCAAAGAGGGAUGCAUUAUUUCCCCAACUUUAUUUCCCAUCUUCAUCGCUAUGAUUCAACACCUUGUUGAUGGGAAGCUGCCCACCAUUGUGGAAAUAGCAUAUUGGACAGAUGGCAAGCUGUUUAACAUCAACAGGCUGAAAGCCAAAAGUAAGGUCAAAACUAGCUUCUAUUACUGAAUUCCAAUAUGCUGAUAAUAAUGUAGUCAGAAGAAGACCUACAUGCUACUUUAAACACCUUCGCAAAUGUAAAGUCUUGGCUCUGCCUUUUCCUCUCCUUUGCUUUAGUUCCCCCUGUUUAGAUUUUCCCAAUAGUGUAGAUGCCUCCAUUUCUAUUAGUUUUUGGGUGGAAUAUAAAACUCACCCUAGAGGCUAGCCUUAGUUGGUUUAGUCCAUUUGCCUGUACAGAGCCCUCUUGCUAGACUACUUUCCCUUUUGCAGCAGAUCUAUAGUGUUUAGAGACUUGGACAUUGUCUGGAAAUCAUAGGCCUAGCAAUCCGAAACAGGCAUCCUUAGCACUAAACCCUACAUUCAGCAUUUCUAUACCACCAGUCCCGAGACAACAGAAGCUUUUGGUCAGCCUAAGUUUCACACAGUUGAAGAUCAGGACAUCUGAUAAGCAUCAACUUGUAAUCCAUCGCUUGGCAUCAGAGGCAAAAGACUUUCAAAGACUCCAGAGAGGUGGCUGCAACCAGCAAAAUCUCCCUUCGUAAUGUAUUUUAAGCUAUCUUACAAUAGUCCCGGGUGGAGUUAGCCCCUUGUUCUUCCUGUUUUCAGUAAACUCAUUUUGGUUAUCUUCUCACCUUUCCUGAAGUGCCUCUGUAUAUUAAAAGUCUUGAUCUUAACAGAAGUUAUACAGAUAGCCCCUGAGUAAAGCCAGACACUAUAGUUUCCCCAAAGGCUUGGGCGUGCCAUCACAGCAGAAGUAUUAUAUGAAAAGACUGGCCUCUCACUGAACACUAAAAAAACCCACACCAAAUUGCUCAUCCAAUCCCUCUGCAAUGUGAGAAGUAAAGCUUAAUUGUGUAACACUAUAAAAUGUUGAUUCUUUCUGCUACUUAGGUAGUCAUCUCUCCACAAAAGGUGAUAUUGAUGCAAAAAUACAACACCGUCUGGGCUCAGUGAGUGCACCAUUUUUUCGAAUGCUGAGAAUCCAAGGACUGGAAUGUUCGUAGGUGUUUCUAUACAGCGCAUAAUCAGGUUCCUCUUGGCAAAUGGUUGUUUUUUUCUUAAUUGAACCCCCACCUGCUUUGUUCUAGUUCACAGGAUUAUUCCUAUGUCCAUGGAGCUGUUCCCAGCUGCUUCUUGGUUGCCACUAUAUCUGUGCUUUGUAGAUAAUUACUGUGGGCAAAGUGGCCCAAGAAAGGUUGCCGCCAGAGGCAGAGUAACAAAUCCCCACCCUGAUCGCAGUUAAAUAGUACCUAUCACCCAAGCCAGCCAAGUUAUUUUGGUGCAUGAGGCAGGAAAUCCACAAAGACUUCUCCCUGUCCCUGGCAGUGAAAAUGCAGUAAGAAGAAAUCAAACAAUUUAUUGCUCUUGCAGAAAGCCCAGAAUAUUCUGUCUGAAGCAGCCACCUGGCUAUGCAUUCUGAUAGGGCUUGUCCUGUGUGUGAACCUUUUUGCUCUUGGGAAAAUUCUCCACAACAAGUCUUUUUCCAAUCACUGCAAUCAAGAGAAUUAGUAUUGAUGAUGUCUGUGUGACCUAGGCAUUUCCUAUCUGUCUUCAGGCAGACUGGAAUGUUUCUGCAGAGAAGAAAUGUGCUUUGUAGAUGACCCUAUACCAGGCAUGGGCAAACUUUGGCCCUUCAGGUGUUUUGGACCAACUCCCACAAUUCCUAACAGCCUAUCGGUUGCUAGGAAUUGUGGGAGUUGAAGUCCAAAACACCUGAAAGCCCAAAGUUUACCCAUGCCUGUCCUAUACCCAGAAAUUAUACAACACAAAUAUUUUUGCAGUACCACCAGUUCCCCAGCAAAACGUGGCUAUCUGUCCUAGCCUGUGACACAGAAUUAUUGUGCAUGUUGAAUGUAUUAUUUUUUUCUAAAUUGUGAUAUCACAACAGAUAUCAUUUUCAUUCAAAUGUACUAUAAAAUAUUCACAUGCUUAAAA